This 380-nucleotide ribosomal RNA is filed under the name uncultured eukaryote. Its description in RNAcentral is "partial 18S ribosomal RNA". It matches the Rfam family "Eukaryotic small subunit ribosomal RNA", at positions 592 to 976 of the family's 1831-position model. The record is from RNAcentral.
CAAUAGCGUAUAUUAAAGCUGUUGCGGUUAAAAAGCUCGUAGUUGGAUUUCUGUCAAGUACAACUGGUCCGCCCUCCGGGUGAGCACAUAGUUUGGUCUUGGCAUCUUGCUGGAAAUUGUUGCUGCACUUGGCUGUGUGGCGCAGUGUCCAGCACUUUCACUUUGAGGAAAUUGGAGUGUUUCAAGCAGGCAAUGCCUUUGAACACAGUAGCAUGGAAUAAUUAGAUUGGGCUUUUGCUCCAAUUUGUCGGUUUCUGGAGCUGAGGUGAGAAUUAAUGGGGAUUGUUGGGGGCAUCCGAAUUUAGCCGUCAGAGGUGAAAUUCUUGGACCUUGGGAAGACGAACAGCUGCGAAAGCGUUUGCCUAGGACGUUCUCUUUAA